This is a long non-coding RNA of Branchiostoma floridae (Florida lancelet), 1292 nucleotides long. RefSeq lists it as uncharacterized. Lineage: Eukaryota; Metazoa; Chordata; Leptocardii; Amphioxiformes; Branchiostomatidae. The transcript has 4 exons. The record is from RefSeq and is a predicted model, not a curated record.
UUCUAGCGGACUACGGGUAUAUAUAAGAACUUCGGCUUUGUUCCAGGUGUAGAACUACGGAGGCGACAAAUGGCGGCGUUAGGUUUGCCACGGGAAAGCAAGAGGAUAUUUACCUAAGGCAAAGGUAAUCGACGUAGUGAAUAUGAAUGGAGGAGGCUAAAGGAAGCCAUUGUUGAGAUUUGCAAAGACCAGGAAAGAGCUUGGUACCUUCAACAGUUUGAGAAAAUUGACGGAUCGACCUACACGGAACCAACCACAACGGAAUUAGCAGAAUUUGGCAGCCGCAUGGUGGCCGGAAUGCUGAGCCCGCUGUACACCUUCAUCGGCAAUGUCUGGAAGGCUAACCCGUGAUGAUCUCCUCGUGGCCGUAAAGGGCAUUUCUUUGCGUACUUCAUACUACCCAAUAUUCUCGUGUAAAGCUGUGUGGAAGAUCGAAAAUCUUCAAGUGAUGGGUUGAAGAGUACCAUAUAGUUGUUUGUUGUGUGUUUCCGGCUGAGUUUGUAAAAAAAGACGCGCAGCAUCUUCGUGUCAAGUGUCGUGCAAGUUCCUGAACGUUGUAGUAAUCUUGAUCCAUGGCUAGUCACCAUCCUGAAUUUCUCCGGACAGCAGGUUACUAGUGCCUCGUCUUAAAAAAAUGCUGGAAAUGAAACGUGUCUUGAUGGAAACCUGAUAUAACCUCCUUGAUGGAAAUGACAUGAUAGAUGGUAUGGCAGUGUAUGAGUAUUGGAGGUCUCUAAAGAGUGUGGCUGUAGAUAAUUAUCCUAAAAAGAAGUCAAACCAAAUAGCUAAGAUUUUUGUUUGACUGAAUUUAUCACUAGAAUUAGUCGCUUACAACUGUGUACUGUUUACCAUUGUUUGUCUGUCAUUUUUUGUUACUUCACAUUAGCCAUCGUUAUGGGGCUCCUUACUGACAAGUAUUCUGAAAAACAUAGUCAAAGUGCUGAUGGCGAAUCUUUCUCUUACCAUGGGCCAACCCAAGUUUGAAUGCAUUUGCUGAACAGGUGUUUCUAGUGGGCAUUUAAGCAACACUCUACAUGCUCUGUUCUGUACUACCUGGAGCUUUCGAGUAUUUGACUCGGACAUGUUUGCUAGAACUGGUAGACAGUACUUUGUAGUUUGAGACAGUACUAGACAGUUUGAUAGAACAACUUAGAUAUACCAUUCAGGUUGAUUAUAAGUUUUAGAAUUCGAAAGCAAAGGGAAGCAUUUUUUCUACCAAACGUCUAGGAGCUAAACGAUGCUUGACCAACGGAGGCAUCUAGCGGAAUACAUACGAAUUGUUCGGCAGCUCA